GUUCGGCCACAAUUUUUUUCAUCCAAUUUUCAUUCUUCCCCUCUUAUUGUCGCACCACCCUAUACUCUUCCUCAUUCUUUCAUUUUUUUUCUCUUUUCUCUCUUUUAUUUAACCUUCAACCUCUCAUUUUUUCUCUUUUUUUCUUUCUCAUCUAAUGUUUCUUAGCCUUGAACCACUAUCACCAAACCACCGAACCACCACAUUGCCACCUCUUUCCCCUCUUUCCUCUCUUUCCCCUCUUUUU
Molecule: long non-coding RNA, 244 nt
Filed under: Gossypium raimondii (Peruvian cotton)
Lineage: Eukaryota; Viridiplantae; Streptophyta; Magnoliopsida; Malvales; Malvaceae
Description: long non-coding RNA (GRAI_LNC003709)
Source: RNAcentral